RNAcentral lists this microRNA (21 nucleotides) under Callithrix jacchus (white-tufted-ear marmoset). Its description in RNAcentral is "cja-miR-450c". Its record names the gene cja-miR-450c. Lineage: Eukaryota; Metazoa; Chordata; Mammalia; Primates; Cebidae. The record is from miRBase by way of RNAcentral.
UUUUGCAAUUUGUUCCUGAAU